This 578-nucleotide ribosomal RNA is filed under the name uncultured bacterium. RNAcentral describes it as "partial 16S ribosomal RNA". It matches the Rfam family "Bacterial small subunit ribosomal RNA", at positions 355 to 920 of the family's 1533-position model. The record is from RNAcentral.
UGGGGAAUAUUGCACAAUGGGCGCAAGCCUGAUGCAGCCAUGCCGCGUGUGUGAAGAAGGCCUUCGGGUUGUAAAGCACUUUCAGCGAGGAGGAAGGUGGUGAGCUUAAUACGCUCAUCAAUUGACGUUACUCGCAGAAGAAGCACCGGCUAACUCCGUGCCAGCAGCCGCGGUAAUACGGAGGGUGCAAGCGUUAAUCGGAAUUACUGGGCGUAAAGCGCACGCAGGCGGUUUGUUAAGUCAGAUGUGAAAUCCCCGGGCUCAACCUGGGAACUGCAUUUGAAACUGGCAAGCUAGAGUCUCGUAGAGGGGGGUAGAAUUCCAGGUGUAGCGGUGAAAUGCGUAGAGAUCUGGAGGAAUACCGGUGGCGAAGGCGGCCCCCCUGGACGAAGACUGACGCUCAGGUGCGAAAGCGUGGGGCAGCAAACAGGAUUAGAUACCCUGGUAGUCCAGCGCUGUAAACGAUGUCGAUUUGGAGGUUGUGCCCUUGAGGCGUGGGCUUCCGGAGCUAACGCGUUAAAUCGACCGCCUGGGGGAGUACGGCCGCAAGGUUAAAACUUAAAUGAAUUGACGGGGUC